UGACACCGAAGCGCUCUCGACCCCUGACCUCUAACCUCCGCCGGGCUCUUUUUGCUUCGUCCGUCGCCCCCUCCCCGCCAAGCUGGUCGCACUGUUGCGGUUUCACUGCGGCUGACGGAAGGCCAAGGAAGAAAGAGGGUAGAGACGCUGUGGCGAGGAUCAGGCUGCCCUCUCCCUUCCCAGGCACCGUGUUGGGGCCUCCUGAGCACCCCGCCCCGCAUCCUGCGCCUCGGAGGCCCAACGGAGCCCAAGACACCCAUGGUCUUGAUGCUCUCCGCCUCUGUCCCAGCCACCAAAGCCCCCGCGAUGGAAUGGGGGACGGGGUGGCCUUGGGCAGAGAAGCGCUUCUUGUGCCAGAUGGAAGGAAACCGUAGCUCUGGCUGUGUUCAUCGCGAAACGUGUUAUGGAUGUGGGCUUCAGGCAGCCACCAUGCCUGUCUGGAUGGUGUAAGGAGAUCUUGAGGCAGAAAUGAAAGAGUUUAGCUGGCUUUGAGUUUGCUGCAGUGAAAAGAAAUAUCCCAAGUGUGACUGGGAAGAGAAGACCCGGGACAGGCCAGAAGCUGGAGUGAGGAAGAAAGAACCACAGAAUAUUAAUGUAAUGAGUAACUUUCAAGUCCUAUCUGGUCCGUGUCCUGGCAAAGUCCCUUGGGGUCUCUCCCCUGCUUUCUGUUCAUCAGGAUGACUGAGCUCAGUAAUUGUAAGAAAGGGAGUGUAGUGGGCAAGGGGACAAAACCCAUAGUAUCCCACCCCUGACUGACUUAUUAAUUCAAUGAAUACUUAUUGAAUACCUACGAUAUGCCAGAAGCGGUUCCGGGCACUGGAAAUACAUCAGUGAAUAAAACAGCCACUUGUCCU
Molecule: long non-coding RNA, 854 nt
Organism: Nomascus leucogenys (northern white-cheeked gibbon)
Lineage: Eukaryota; Metazoa; Chordata; Mammalia; Primates; Hylobatidae
Exons: 3
Source: RefSeq, a predicted model, not a curated record